GGCCUCUUUUUCCUUCAUUUUUUUUUUUUUUUUUUUUUGUAAACUUGAAAAGAAAAACAAUUGUUCUCACGUUAUCCAUCUUUCCAUUUAACUUUUUUAUUCUUUCACGUCUAUCCAUCUCUCUCAGUUCGAUAGAAGUAGAUGAAUCGGAGUAGAGCACUACCGGUGUACAUUAAAAGUAAUGGAGCAGCAACUCCAGCAAUUACACCAGAAAUAAUUCCCACCACAACUCCAGCGAUUCGGCAAUGCAUGCUUGAAAGGCGAUGAUUCAUCCUCCGACGGGUUGAAUUGACCCCUCUCAAUUUCAACUUUUUGCUCGACAAUCAGCCACCACCAUUAUCAGUCAUUACUAUUAGGUCCUCCAUUCUUCAAUUUCAUCUGUGUUCAAAAUAUAGGUCUAGCAUCACUGAUAAUUGUAUUUAAAUAAUACCUAACACGCUCUAUUGAAGUCUAGCAAGAUCAUUGCUCUCUUUUCCGUUAUAUUACUUCAAGUCUAGCAUCACUGAUAGUGGUAUUUAAAUAUUACCUAACACGCUCUCUUGAAGUCUAUCAAGAUCAUUGCUCUCUUUUCCGUUAUAUUACUUCAAGUCUAGCAUCACUGAUAAUUGUAUUUAAAUAAUACCUAACACGCUCUAUUGAAGUCUAUCAAGAUCAUUGCUCUCUUUUCCGUUAUAUUACUUCAAGUCUAGCAUCACUGAUAGUGGUAUUUAAAUAUUACCUAACACGCUCUCUUGAAGUCUAUCAAGAUCAUUGCUCUCUUUUCCGUUAUAUUACUUCAAGUGGUAUUGAAUUUGUCGCAACACAUUUGCCUAGUCCUGAGCUAAUGGAUUGUGGUAUGUAUCUCCAGAUGUGAUCCUGGCAUGGAAGAUGAUGUUUGUAAGGGUGAAAGCAAAGAACCAGAGAAAAGCAGCAAGUUGCAGAAUAUACACCAAAAGCUUAUAGUCAAGCAUAAUGGGUUGAAGAAAAUUUUGUCCAUGUAGUUUUUUCGAAAAUUCCUUAAUUUACUUGUUAUACUAUAUGUAUUGGUUGAAUCUUUGAGCACUCUUGAACAAGGAUAUUAUUAUGUAAAUGGGUUUUUUAGGGAAUGAAUAUAUAAUACAAUAUGGUACUCUGAACUAGUACAUUUUUA
This is a long non-coding RNA of Beta vulgaris subsp. vulgaris (sugar beet), 1129 nucleotides long. RefSeq lists it as uncharacterized. The transcript has 6 exons. The record is from RefSeq and is a predicted model, not a curated record. NCBI's taxonomy places the organism in Eukaryota, Viridiplantae, Streptophyta, Magnoliopsida, Caryophyllales, Amaranthaceae.